UGGGGAAUAUUGCACAAUGGGCGCAAGCCUGAUGCAGCCAUGCCGCGUGUGUGAAGAAGGCCUUCGGGUUGUAAAGCACUUUCAGCGGGGAGGAAGGCGAUAAGGUUAAUAACCUUGGCGAUUGACGUUACCCGCAGAAGAAGCACCGGCUAACUCCGUGCCAGCAGCCGCGGUAAUACGGAGGGUGCAAGCGUUAAUCGGAAUUACUGGGCGUAAAGCGCACGCAGGCGGUCUGUCAAGUCGGAUGUGAAAUCCCCGGGCUCAACCUGGGAACUGCAUUCGAAACUGGCAGGCUAGAGUCUUGUAGAGGGGGGUAGAAUUCCAGGUGUAGCGGUGAAAUGCGUAGAGAUCUGGAGGAAUACCGGUGGCGAAGGCGGCCCCCUGGACAAAGACUGACGCUCAGGUGCGAAAGCGUGGGGAGCAAACAGG
Molecule: ribosomal RNA, 429 nt
Filed under: Chloroflexota bacterium
Lineage: Bacteria; Bacillati; Chloroflexota
Description: Chloroflexi bacterium partial 16S ribosomal RNA
Rfam family: Bacterial small subunit ribosomal RNA
Source: RNAcentral